This 253-nucleotide ribosomal RNA is filed under the name uncultured bacterium. RNAcentral describes it as "partial 16S ribosomal RNA". It matches the Rfam family "Bacterial small subunit ribosomal RNA", at positions 524 to 776 of the family's 1533-position model. The record is from RNAcentral.
CACGGGGGGAGCAAGCGUUGUUCGGAAUCACUGGGCGUAAAGGGCGUGUAGGCGGUCAGGUAAGUGGGAUGUGAAAUGCCCCGGCUCACCCGGGGACCGGCAUCCCAUACUGCUUGGCUUGAGUACGGGAGAGGAUGUGGGAAUUCCUGGUGUAGCGGUGAAAUGCGUAGAUAUCAGGAGGAACACCUGUGGCGAAAGCGGCGCACUGGACCACAACUGACGCUGAGGCGCGAAAGCUAGGGGAGCAAACAGG